AGAUGUGAAGCAGCUUCUUGAUCUUGUGAAGAGCCCAGACUAUAAACUGGAGACUCUGAAGUGGAAGAAGUCAUGGUGAUAACCAGGAGGGUGGGUGGUGUGAGAGGAUGAGCUGUGUCCUGAUGAUCCAGAGGGUGAAGCAGACUCUGACUGGACCAUGUUACUGGGAGGUGGAGAGGAGAGCUUCAUCCACAUGGUCUCCAUUUAAGACCAUCAACAGAGCUGCACUUCAACUCUUCACAGAGCUCCAACAAACCAAGUCCACAAACCUCCUCGUUAUGUUCCUCCUCCUUCAUCCACAUUUAUUGGAUCAAAGCAGCAUCUGCGUCAUGUGUCUUUGAUUAGUGGAUUUGUCAGAUGAGGAGGAACUGAUGAGUUUAGAAACGACAGCGAAGAAAAACCUCAGAGUCAGACCAGAGACUCCGUUAGAUCUUCAUCUUCAUCAGAUCACGCGUAUCUUAUGGUAUGCAUUUUCUACAGCAUAACUCCUGAUUGUAAGUUAUUUAUACAGUGUAAUUCCUGGUUAUAUUUUUACAGCAUAUCUCAUAUCUGUUUUUAUAGUGUAUCUUUUCAUGUUUGUCAGAUGUUUUUACAGUUUAUUCAACUUAUAAGCUGUUUUUGUACAGAGACUUUAUGAUGGUUACCAGGCACAACAACCAUCUAUCACAUGAGGAGAGAGAUGUUUUAUAUCUUUAAGGUAGUAUUAAAUUUAAUUUAAUCUAAGACAGUUUAAUGUUUUAUGGCAGUUUUAAGUUGAAGAUUAUUUUUAUUUUAAAGGUGGUCUCAAGUUUUAAGGUAGUAUUAAAUAGCAUGUUAGUCUUUUUUUUUCCCAGCAUAUUUCCUGGUUAUAUUUUAAAUCGUCCCUUGGAGUCAUUUUUAUGUGUUGCUGAAGUUCCUGUGCAUGACCACCAGAGGGCAGUGACCAUUCAUCAGUCAGUCUGUCUGUGUAAUAAUAUGUGUUCAUUAUCAGUCUGAUAAACAGUCAAUGAAGAUCAGUAUUAUGGGAUGUGGGCUGUAGUUCCUGACAGUGACCACUGGAGGGCAGCGAUCAUCAUAGUUUCUAUCAUACGCUGUAAAACUGUGGGAGGACAUCGUGUGUCAAAAAGAAGCAUCCAGGUGAUGACCAGUAGAAGUUGUAGAAUGAACCUGGAACCUGGAUUAGUUCCUGGAGAGUCAGUAGCUGAUGUUUACAACUGUUUAUGAAUUGAACUUGCUAGCAUAAAGUUAUAAAUAAAGUUAUAUCCUAUUGA
This is a long non-coding RNA of Mugil cephalus (flathead mullet), 1250 nucleotides long. RefSeq lists it as uncharacterized. Lineage: Eukaryota; Metazoa; Chordata; Actinopteri; Mugiliformes; Mugilidae. The record is from RefSeq and is a predicted model, not a curated record. The transcript has 2 exons.